AACAGGGAAGCCGGUCGAAGUCCGGCGCGGUCCCGCCACUGUAGCCGGGGUGAAGGCGCCUGCAGUCGUCGCCGCCUCCGCGCACCUCGCGGAGGGUAAGGUGGCAGGCGCGAAGGGCGGCCGUAUCGCCCUGCCCCGGGAGCCAGGAGACCU
RNAcentral lists this non-coding RNA (153 nucleotides) under Anaeromyxobacter sp. The record is from RNAcentral. Lineage: Bacteria; Pseudomonadati; Myxococcota; Myxococcia; Myxococcales; Anaeromyxobacteraceae.